UUCUUCUUGCAGAUCUGGGAUCAUUUCUCUUUGGCCUCAAGAACUUCUUUUGGCAUUUCUUGCUGGAGAUGAAAGUUCUCAGCUUUUGUCUGAAUUUUGACUCUGAUGUGCCUAGGUGUGGUUUGCUUUGGAUUCAUUCUUCGUGCUGUUGGCUGCAGUCCUUGGACCUGUCAAUCACUCAACAUGACCUCUUAUUGGCAACAUUAGCAGUGGAUUUUGCAUGCUUAGGGGCCAUGAGGAACAAAACAACAUGAGAUUAAAUCAAGCACAAGAGAAAAUGAUGCCAUCAAGAGAUGCUGUAAACACAAGAUGUAUAUGAGGCUUCUGCUGGUGUAACAUGGCAUUCUGUUUUACAGUAAACUUUUUUUAAUAAGUAGAAAGAGUAUACUCUAAAAUGAUGAUAAAAAGUAUAGUAUAGUAAAUAUAUAAACCAGUGACAUAGUUGUUUAUUAUCA
Diceros bicornis minor is the source of this 455-nucleotide long non-coding RNA. RefSeq lists it as uncharacterized. The record is from RefSeq and is a predicted model, not a curated record. The transcript has 3 exons. NCBI's taxonomy places the organism in Eukaryota, Metazoa, Chordata, Mammalia, Perissodactyla, Rhinocerotidae.